GGUUAAGCUACUAAGGGCAGACGGUGGAUGCCUUGGUAUCGGUAGGCGAUGAAGGACGCGGAAAGCUGCGAUAAGCUUCGGGGAGCCGCUAACAGGCUUUGAUCCGGAGAUUUCCGAAUGGGGGAACCCAGCCGGGGUAAUACCCGGUUAUCCUGCACUCAAUACAUAGGUGCAUGAGGCGAACGCAGGGAAUUGAAACAUCUAAGUACCUGCAGGAAAAGAAAAUAAUAAUGAUUCCGUCAGUAGCGGCGAGCGAACGCGGAGAAGCCCAAACCGUAUACUUUUCGGAGUAUACGGGGUUGUGGGGCCCCGAUGUGGGAUUGCGAAUGGAUAGUAGAACGGUAUGGAAAGGCCGGCCAUAGACGGUGAUAGCCCGGUACACGAAAUCCUGAAGCACCCUAGGGGAACCCCGAGUACCACGGGACACGUGAAACCCUGUGGGAAUCCGGGAGGACCAUCUCCCAAGGCUAAAUACUAACCGAUAACCGAUAGUGAACCAGUACCGUGAGGGAAAGGUGAAAAGUACGGGGGGACCCGAGUGAAAUAGUACCUGAAACCGUCUGCUUACAAGCAGUGGGAGCACUAUGUUGCUUGCAACAGUGUGACCGCGUGCCUUUUGCAUAAUGAGUCAACGACUUACCCUAUGCAGCAAGGUUAAGCCGCGAGGUGUAGCCGUAGCGAAAGCGAGUCUUAAUAGGGCGAUCAGUUGCAUGGGGUAGACCCGAAGCCGGGUGAUCUAUCCAUGUCCAGGGUGAAGCGAAGGUAAUACUUCGUGGAGGCCCGAACCAGUGUAGGUUGAAAACUGCUUGGAUGAGGUGUGGAUAGGAGUGAAAGGCUAAUCAAACUCGGUGAUAGCUGGUUUUCUCCGAAAUAUAUUUAGGUAUAGCCUCGUAUGUUUACUGACGGAGGUAGAGCACUGAUUGGACUAGGGGUCUCACCAGAUUACCAAACCCAUUCAAACUCCGAAUGCCGUCAAGUUAGAGUACGGGAGUCAGACUACGGGAGAUAAGUUCCGUGGUCGAGAGGGAAAGAACCCAGACCGCCAGCUAAGGUCCCUAAAUUCAUGCUAAGUGGAAAAGGAGGUGGAACUGCCCAGACAACCAGGAGGUUGGCUUAGAAGCAGCAAUCCUUUAAAGAAAGCGUAACAGCUCACUGGUCGAGUGGGGCUGCGCCGAAAAUUCAACGGGGCUUAAGCAUGGUACCGAAGCUGCGGAUUUCAGAGGACAGAGUACAGAUGACAGAAGACAGAAAGCGUGUUUCCUCAUUUGAGAACCUGGAAGUAUUCCAGCGAGCCUACAAGGUCUCGUUGGAGAUACACAAAAAGAGCCUGGAUUUUCCCAGGCAUGAGCAGUAUGGGCUUGCAGAGCAGACAAGAAGAGCAAGCAAGUCCAUCUGCGCAAAUCUGGCCGAAGGAUAUGGCAAAAGUCAUUCAGCCGCUGAAUUUAAGCGGUUCGUUCAGAUGGCAUUAGGUUCAAGUGAUGAAAUGCGGGUCUGGCUUCGAUAUUGUCUGGAUCUGGAAUAUAUUGAUAGAGAGACAUGGCACCGAUGGCGAGAAGAGUAUCAGGAGAUAAGUAAGAUGUUACAGGGACUGCACAGAAGUUGGAAAUAGUUUUUAUCUGACCUCUGUCCUCUGCCAUCUGAUUCCUGAAACUGACCUCUGUCGUCUGUCCUCUGUCCUCUGAGAUGGUAGGAGAACAUUGUGGCCGCCUGAGAAGGUACACCGCGAGGAGUGCUGGAGGUUCCACAAGAGCUUAUGUUGACACGAGUAGCGAAAAACAAGGUGAGAAACCUUGUCGCCGAAAGCCUAAGGUUUCCUGUAGUAAAGUUAAUCUGCUCAGGGUUAGUCGGCCCCUAAGUCGAGGCUGAAAAGCGUAGACGAUGGGAAACAGGUUAAUAUUCCUGUACCACCCUGCUGGUGUUACGGAUACGGGGGGACGGAGAAGGGUAGGUCAUCCGGGUGUUGGAUGUCCCGGUUCAAGCGUGUAGGCGGAGGACUUUGGCAAAUCCGGGUCCUCAUUCAACGCUGAGGCGUGAUGACGAUUCCUUUUUGGAUACAAAGUGAUUGAUCCCAUGCUUCCAGGAAAAGCCUCGUAUUCAUUCAGCAAGGUGACCGUACCGUAAACCGACACAGGUAGGCAGGAAGAGUAUUCCAAGGCGCUUGAGAGAACUCUGGUUAAGGAACUCGGCAAAAUAGCACCGUAACUUCGGGAGAAGGUGUGCCCCCAUUAGGUAGAACGAUUCGCACGUCGAGCCGAAGGGGGUUGCAGUGAAUUGGGGGGAGCGACUGUUUACUAAAAACACAGGACUCUGCUAAGUCGAAAGACGAUGUAUAGGGUCUGACGCCUGCCCGGUGCCGGAAGGUUAAGGGGACUUGUCAGCGCAAGCGAAGCAAUGAACCGAAGCCCCGGUAAACGGCGGCCGUAACUAUAACGGUCCUAAGGUAGCGAAAUUCCUUGUCGGGUAAGUUCCGACCUGCACGAAUGGCGUAACGAUUUCCCCACUGUCUCAACCAGGGACUCAGCGAAACUGUAGCACCGGUGAAGAUGCCGGUUACCCGCAACAAGACAGAAAGACCCCGUGCACCUUUACUACAGCUUGGCAUUGUAGCUUGGGCUAUCAUGUGUAGGAUAGGUGGGAGACUUUGAAGCGGCCACGCCAGUGGUCGUGGAGUCAAUCUUGAAAUACCACCCUUGCUAUCUUAGGCUACUAACCCAGACCCGUUAUCCGGGUCGGGAACAGUGUCUGGCGGGUAGUUUGGCUGGGGCGGUCGCCUCCUAAAGAGUAACGGAGGCGCGCGAAGGUUCCCUCAGGUUGAUUGGAAACCAACCGCAGAGUGUAAAGGCAUAAGGGAGCUUGACUGCGAGAGAGACAUCUCGAGCAGGUACGAAAGUAGGUCUUAGUGAUCCGGCGGUCCCGAAUGGAAGGGCCGUCGCUCAACGGAUAAAAGGUACGCCGGGGAUAACAGGCUUAUCUCCCCCAAGAGUCCAUAUCGACGGGGAGGUUUGGCACCUCGAUGUCGGCUCAUCGCAUCCUGGGGCUGGAGCAGGUCCCAAGGGUUUGGCUGUUCGCCAAUUAAAGCGGUACGUGAGCUGGGUUUAAAACGUCGUGAGACAGUUUGGUCCUUAUCUGUUGCGGGCGUAGGAUAUUUGAGGAGAGCUGUUCCUAGUACGAGAGGACCGGAAUGGACGAACCGAUGGUGUUCCUGUUGUGGCGCCAGCCGCAUCGCAGGGUAGCUAAGUUCGGAAGGGAUAACCGCUGAAAGCAUCUAAGCGGGAAGCCCACUCCAAGAUUAGAUAUCCCGUGGGGUAAUACCCACCUAAAGGCUCGUUGAAGACUACAACGUCGAUAGGCCAGGUGUGGAAGUGUAGCGAUACAUGGAGCUUACUGGUACUAAUCAGCCGUGCGGCUUAACCAU
RNAcentral lists this ribosomal RNA (3415 nucleotides) under Desulfobulbaceae bacterium. Its description in RNAcentral is "23S ribosomal RNA". It matches the Rfam family "Bacterial large subunit ribosomal RNA". Lineage: Bacteria; Pseudomonadati; Thermodesulfobacteriota; Desulfobulbia; Desulfobulbales; Desulfobulbaceae. The record is from RNAcentral.